GGUGCUCGAGCUGUGGUGCGUGCCGCUAAGUUGUGCGUUCCAGGGUGCACUCGCCGGCGAGGCUGCACGGCGCCGGUUUCAUUGCUAAAAUCCGACGGACUUGUUGCAGAACUCGUUUUUUUUGUCGGGAAAGGGCUUCCCCGUGUAACUUUACAGCAGUUAUCGUAGAUAAGACUUGCAAAUUACAGAUGUGGACGGUGAGGGAACGGGAAUUUCACUGAAAGCGCCUGAGAACCAGUAAGAGACCUGCAACAGCUUUGUGCUCCACUGGCGAAUGCUUCCUCCCCUAAUACACAUUAUGUGUGCUUGGAGACACAAGGAGUAAGAUACAGCCCCUCAAGGGACUCGUCAUAGGGAGAGGACACAGCUUUGGGAAUAAAGGGGCCACAAAGGAGGAGAGAGGAGUUUGCUGAAACUUCCCAAGCUCCCAUUCCAGCAGUUCCUGAAGGAUUCAUUUCUCUCUGAGGAUCUCAUGAGGUGGCUUAGCAGCUAGAAUCUCUUCCUUAACAGUGGGAAGAACAACUCCUGGAAAUUUAGGUCGACUUUGACUGGAUUUAAAAGAAAGCUGUACAAUUCCACUUCUGUAUAUACAACCAAAGGAAAUGAGAUGUGCAUACCCAUGUUCAAUGAAGCAUUAUUCACAAUAGCCAAAAUGUGGAACCAAUCCUUAAACAAAAGGAAAACAGAAAAUCUGCUCAAGUCCCUGCAGGCACCUGAGAAAAUCACAACCCACACUUGCGAACCCCUAGGAGACCUAAAGCUGUGGUUUUACAAAUAAACAGAUAAGUAACAUUCCUACUCUUUCCUAUAGGUACUCAAUCUUCUUAACAACUCCCAUCCCACACAGGUUUGCAUCCCCAGCAGAUACAUAUGGCUAUGUGGUCACCCAUUCGAUCAGCCUAUAAAAGACUUGUCUUAUUUGAUAUUGUGAAACCCAUGGUUAUCAGUGUAUAUGAAAAUGUUUGGUUCAGGGGUCAAUGUACAAUAUGACAAGCAAAGUCCUCUAAUACACAGUUAUAUAAAAUCACUCACCUGAGAGCCAAGUGGACAAUUGGCCUUAUAUUGGCUGGAGUUGGAGCCCCAGAGGGAAAAUUUGCCUAUUAUUAGGCAACUCUUCAAAACUUUACUUAUUCGUUUCUAAACACUGUCUCAUAAAAUGGGGGAUGCUUUAGAUGAAUUAAGAUUAGCACUAGAUUACUUAUUCGUUGAAAAUUAGCACUAGAUUUCUUAUUGGUUGAACAAGGAGGAGUGUGCACCAUAAUCAAUAUAACCUGCUGCAGUUAUGUAAACACCUCAGGUCACAUAGAAGAAGAUAUACAGAAAAUACAUGAACAAGCUGUGUGGUUGCGUAAAUAUAACCAAGGCACCAAUCCCAACUGUAUCUGGUCAGCCAUUAGAAGCACCCUCCUGAGUCUCACUUGGUUGUUGCCCUUCCUAGGAACUUUGAUAGUUGUCUUAUUAUUAAUCUUUGGCCCUUGCUUGUUUAAAUUCUUGGUAAAGUUUGUGUUUUUUAGAUUACAACAAUUCCACAUAAAGAUGAUACUGACACAAAGCUUCCAAUCCAUCCCGUCUUCUGAACCGGGAAAUAAAGACACCCUGCCUUUAGGUGUCUUUAGAUCUAGAUCAGGCAUCUAGAGAUUUUUACUCCUCCAAUACUUGGCAGGGUCUAUGCCCGUAGACUCAUCAGGAUACCAUGUAAAUGAGGACCUCCCUUGGUACCCCAGAGGCCAACUGUAGACCCUUAUGAGAAAAUCCUGUCCCCAAAAUGAACAUCCACUGUCAGCAGGAAGAAGUUACAGAAGACCAGCCUUUGCCCUUACGAUUAAGGGUCCUCUUGUAAGUAGAGAGGGGAAUGUUAGGAAAGCAGGAGCCUAGGUGAUCCAGAGUGACACCAUUUUAAAAUAAACUCCACCUGAAAACUAGCAAGGCAUCUGCACACAUCUGUUUAGCAAGUAUAUACUUCUGUAACUGGAAUAAAAAGCGUUAUUUUAGAAUAUGCCUAUAGUUUGUAAUAAUUAGCCGAGGGAAAAAAAGUUCACAUUGGUGUAGGAAAAGUGCCCUAAUGGUCAUGGGUAAUAAUGGGACCGUGGUUCUGGUCAGUGAUUUGAUGGAAGGGGUGUAGAUAAUAUAUUGUUGUAAAUAAUAAAAAUAAAAAAUUGUUGUAAGUAAUAAAAAUAAAAUAAUAUUGUUGUAAGUAAUAAAGUAGGAGAAAUAUUUGGUCUUUUGCUUUUGGGUUAGUGCAACAGUAGUACCAUUACUUGGAGGAGAAGUUAGAGAAGGACAAGAAUAGGCUUGAAUAAGAUGAGUGAGAAGAGAGAAAAAUUCCGUAAGUGGAGAUGGCCAGGGAACACCAGGGCAGCAGAAUCUAACUCUGAAUUUAAUGCUGUUGUCUGUUCAUAUUGCACUGCGCUGUAAUCUCCCUAUCUUUCCUAAACCAUUGGCAAAGUCUGCUAUCCACUGGGGCCUUGGGUCGGUGGUGCUUUGGGAAAUACCAGAAGAGGGAAAGUACGGCAAAUGUGCAGUGUCACAGAUGAUAGGAGGAAAGCUGGCCAGUGGGAUGAUUAAAACAAUUUCGGUGGGAGUGGGAAUUCAGACCAUGUAAAUGGUCUGAAUUAAGAAAAUUUCAAGAAACAAAAAAUGUUUCUAAUGAGCCAAAGUGAAAGCUCUUCAUGAUUUCUUUAUAGAGGCUCUCUAGUGCUUGUCCUAAUUUCCUGAAAUCUCAUGGGUAUCUUACUCUCCUGGUGCCCGCCUCAAACAUUCACUGUAGCAAUUAUAUGAGCAGCCUAGAGAAUCCCAAUCCCAGUGGUCUUGCUCCCUGGAUCUACUUUCUCUUAAAAAUCAUUCCCCUAAGUUUCCGUCACUUGGUUGAAGUUUAGUAGAUAUCUCCACAUCUCCAGCUAGAACAGCACCAGAAUUUCAGGACUAGGGCAAUAGAGUCUGAUAUUAAAUUCUAUUUCUAUCUAUCUAUCUAUCAUCUAUCUAUCUAUCUAUCUAUCUAUCUAUCUAUCUAUCUAUCUAUCUACAGAACAAUUUGUGGGAUAGUAGCUUUGGGGUCCCAGAUCUAGGAUGGGCCUGGUCCUCCAUGCUGGUUCUCCUGGGUGAUAUUUCUGUUAGUUUGAACAGUAAUCACACUUUUAUUACUGUUUCAUCUUUUUUUUUUCACUCUUAGACUGAUUUUAUCAUGUGUAUAAAACAUACACACACCUACAUCUCAAGGAUAAACAUUAAUCCUUGAAAAAUAUGUGGUCUAAAACUAUAUUGAGGAGAGAAAGAUAGGACACUUUAAUUGCCACAUGAUUAACACGAGGUCACCACACAGCUUUCACAAAUCUACAAGUCAUUCUAUUUAGGCUGAGUCAAGUUCUCCCUUGGGCCAGCCAGAGCACAAAUAAUGGAGCAAUGUGACUCUUCAAUGACAGAUCUCUGAUUUCCAGAAAAGAGACUUUGAAAUACCCAAUUCUAGUAAAUAUGCAAUUAAAUUUCCAGCUAAAUGACCUUUGCUCCUGUAGUCUUCAUCUUGGGGAAGGGAAAGAAGUCUUAUUCUGUUUAAUAGUUUGAUUUUUAUAAUAGGGUUUGUCUCUGUUAUAAAUCUUGUUUGAUAUUUAAAAUGUUAGCUAAGAGAAAACUUCUGUUUGUUUUUAUUUAGUGGGAAGAAACUAACCCUCAUUGAGUGCCUAGUUAACAUCAGGCACUUUGUACACAUAAUCAAUUGAAUCUUGACCACAACCCUGUGAGGUGAAAAAUGAGAAGAUUAAAUAAGCCAUGGGAAGAUUUUUUAAAAUGACAUGAAACUCCAAGGGUAAAAAGUAGGUAACCUUCUCCCGCAGUAUCCUGGUUCCCAUGCUUUCUGUACCCACGUGCCUACUCUUGCAAUCUAUACAUUGUUCCUGUUCAGCAGAGUUUGGAUGAAUACCCAACAGCCUGAGGAGACUGACUGUUACUUGAAAUGAAGGAGUGUUCUUGUUUGAACGAUCCUGCUCAGAAGGACCAGCCUGGGCUUGCAUCUCUUGUAGUAUUUUACUAAACCCUGCAACAGUAGCCACUUUUUUUCCCUGCCAAGUUAUCUAAAUGUAGAGCUUCCUGUGGUCUGAGUUUUAAGAGAUUACAGGUGAUAAUUAACUAAUUAUUUGCUUUACUAUAGAAUCUAUGUAUAGGUGGAAUCGAAGGUGGUGGAAUCUUUACUGAUUCCCUGACCCACUUCACUCAGUGAGUUACAUAUUUGAGGGAUAUCAGUGAAGUGUAUCACUAUGGUCUACUUGUUUGCAACUUACAAAAACCCAACAUGAAUAACCUUGGUAUCCAUGGGCUCUUGCUUCCAAGUUACAAAAACCUAGCAUGCAUAACCUUAGAGAAAAAAGGGAACAUUUUGACUGAUAGAAACCAUGAAAUGAGCGAAAAACAAAACAAAGAAAGUGGGCAGAAAUACAACUGGGAGCAGAAACUUGAAACCAUUCAACUUAAAGAAGACUUUCCCUCUCUCUUAUGUGAAGUGGUGUAUGUAGCAUAGUGGUUAAGAGCAGAGAUGCUAGCCCUAAUAGAUCUGGGUUCAAAUCUUAGCUUUAUUUCUCUUCUGUGACAUAAGGCAAGAAGCCCAAAACUUCUGUGCCCCAGUUUACCUAUCAAUAAGGUAUGAUAAUAGUAGUACCCACCUCAUACAUUUAUUAUGAGCAUUAAGAGAGUUAUCAUAUGACAAACGUUUGAAUUUGUGCCUAGCACAUAGCGGGACCUAUGUAUAAGUGCUACCUGUUAUUAUUAUGGUAUCUCUGAGAACAUUGAUUUCAGUUGUUCACCAUUGACUUGCUUUUGUUAUAGAGUUAGGAAAUAUGGCCAAUAAAAAUGUUUGAUUCGUAAGUCUAACUGCAACAGGAGAAUUCUGAUCUUUCCCUCAUCUUAAGUCCAAAGAUGUAAGGGAGGCUCUCUUUGCUAGCAUGAGUCUGGUGCUCACUCCUCAGCCAAUGAAAUCUCACCAAAUUUGUGGAGUUUGGGAAGAGUUUGACAGCUACUAUGGCAGUCAUGUGGACAUCCUUGAGCAGCUGAAGAGAUGCCCUGCCCGGAGAGGAGGAAUCUAGAGAGGCAAUCUGGCUACAGUGGCUUUGCCGAGCUACAGUGGGCUCUACCCAGUUUGAACCUCCUGGCAGCUUUGUUUACACUGUGAGGGGAAAACCAUCUACUUAAGCCUCAGUAAUGGCAGACGCUCCUCUCUCUAAGGUCAAGUGUAACUGUUUACUUCAGACUGUUGUGCUGGCUGUGAGAAUUUCAAGCCCGUGGAUCUCAGCUUGCUGGGCUCCAUGGGGGUGGGAUCCACUGAGAUAAACCACUUGGCUCCCUGGCUUAAGCCUUCUUUUCAGGCUGGGAAAUCUUAGGAUGGUGAACCAUCAUGUUUCCUGAAUGUGAAUCCUGUACCUGGUUUGACUGUAGUCACCCCUUCUCCAACACUCUCCACGAUGCCGGCUGCCUCAUGGCCUAAAAUCACAGGAAGUGGGGUCACCAUGGUACCACUAACCACGUGGUCAUCUGUGCCACAGAUUCCUACAGCCACCAUCUACAGAGUGAAGAGAAGAUGUUUAUAAAAGAUUGUGAGUCUCAGGAUGUUCAACAUGAUCAAUGCCAAAUAAAUAUCAGAAUACUUGGAAGUAAAGUACUAAUAGUAGGAGUUCCUGAUUAUCAGGUGCCUAUGAUGUGACAGGCACAUUGUGGCCUGUGCUCGACCAGGAGACUGGUGAGUCCUUGUGGAUUUCUUCCCUGCUCAAGUGCAUAAAGCAGGUGUAUUGCAUAGCUUUUCCAGGCUGAGAUCAAAGACGGAGAUGUGCCUACCCGCAGAUCCUAGAUGGCCAUGUUUGCAACAGAGGUAAUGAUGAGCAGUGCGAAGAUGUGACUCCAAAGCCUGGAGAAGGACAGACCAGCAUCCCUGCAAGAGAUCCAACUGUCUUCUUUUCCGCAGAGGUCCAUAAUUUACAUGGGCCUGACAAAGAAUACUGUAACUUGCAGAAAUUAUCUUCAGUUCAAAUCCUUCAUUUUGGGGGUUAAAUAACUUGCCCAAGAUGUCGAGGGAGCGGAAAUACUUGCUGGUCUUGCAGCGGCUGUGGAGCCUGGAAUCCUGCCAAGAAGAGCAUGUGUGAGAGAUCAAAAUGUUUGCUUACAUUCCUCCUGUGAAGGGAGUUGGGAAAUAACCUAAGAAGCCCAAUCCAAAAACAAAGAUGUACCAUCCAGUCUUCUCUGUGAGAACCAAACUACAAACCAUCUGAAUGUUCCAAAAGUGUUUUGAUGAUGUAUUGAUGUAUUUUAAAUUAUCCUGAAAAUGUUCUUGGCAGAUGCUUAAACAUGUAAUUACUGAGAUGAUGUAGAAAUACCAAGUGUUUAUUAAAACAAUACAGAGUAAUACAAAUGGUAUGUUUGUCGCAAUAUAAAAGUAUCUAAAAAUUAAAGAGUUCUUUAAUGGUGGAGAUUGUUUUCCUUUUUGAAGUUAAAAUAUAAAUUUUUGUAAAAAGCACAAAUUAUUACUAUUUAUAGCUAACAUUUAUGGAGUGCUGACUAUGCUCAUUUUUGAGCAUACAUUGCCUCAUUUAGUGCAAUGUUUAGCAUUAACUUAUGAGGUAAAUGCCAUUGCCAUGCACAUUGUACAGAUGAAGACAUUGAGGUUUAGAGAGAUUGCAU
Molecule: long non-coding RNA, 6654 nt
Filed under: Homo sapiens (human)
Lineage: Eukaryota; Metazoa; Chordata; Mammalia; Primates; Hominidae
Description: HSALNT0075365
Source: RNAcentral